This 463-nucleotide ribosomal RNA is filed under the name uncultured bacterium. RNAcentral describes it as "partial 16S ribosomal RNA". It matches the Rfam family "Bacterial small subunit ribosomal RNA", at positions 339 to 795 of the family's 1533-position model. The record is from RNAcentral.
CUACGGGUUGCACCAGUGGGGAAUACUGCGCAAUGGGCGAAAGCCUGACGCAGCGACGCCGCGUGGAGGAUGAAGGUCUUCGGAUUGUAAACUUCUGUUGGGUGGGAAGAAAAUACUGUCUCUAAUACAGGCAGGGAAUGACGGUACCAUCAAAGAAAGCACUGGCUAACCUCGUGCCAGCAGCCGCGGUAAUACGAGGGGUGCAAGCGUUAUUCGGAAUCAUUGGGCGUAAAGGGUGCGUAGACGGUUUUUUAAGUCUAUUGUUUAAUCCUCCAGCUUAACUGGAGAAAGGCAGUGGAACUAAUUGACUAGAGGGUGAGAGAGAGAAGUGGAAUUCCUGGAGUAGCGGUCAAAUGCGUAGAUCUCAGGAGGAACACCGAUGGCGAAGGCAGCUUCUUGGCUCAUUCCUGACGUUGAGGCACGAAAGCGUGGGGAGCAAACAGGAUUAGAUACCCCAGUAGUC